RNAcentral lists this ribosomal RNA (250 nucleotides) under uncultured archaeon. RNAcentral describes it as "partial 16S ribosomal RNA". It matches the Rfam family "Archaeal small subunit ribosomal RNA", at positions 616 to 865 of the family's 1478-position model. The record is from RNAcentral.
UACUUCAGGGGUAGGGGUGAAAUCUUGUAAUCCUUGAAGGACCACCAGUGGCGAAGGCGUCUCACCAGAACGGACCUGACGGCAAGGGACGAAAGCUAGGGGCACGAACCGGAUUAGAUACCCGGGUAGUCCUAGCCGUAAACGAUACUCGCUAGGUGUCGGCAACGGUGCGACCGUUGUCGGUGCCGUAGGGAAGCCGUGAAGCGAGCCACCUGGGAAGUACGGCCGCAAGGCUGAAACUUAAAGGAAU